UACGGAGGCCGCAAGCGUUGUUCGGAAUCACUGGGCGUAAAGCGCGUGUAGGCGGCUGUGCAAGUCGGGGGUGAAAUCCCGAGGCUCAACCUCGGAACUGCACUCGAUACUGCGUGGCUCGAGUCCCGGAGAGGGUGGCGGAAUUCCCGGUGUAGGGGUGAAAUCCAUAGAUAUCGGGAGGAACAUCAGUGGCGAAGGCGGCCACCUGGACGGUGACUGACGCUGAGACGCGAAAGCGUGGGGAGCAAACAGG
RNAcentral lists this ribosomal RNA (253 nucleotides) under uncultured bacterium. Its description in RNAcentral is "partial 16S ribosomal RNA". It matches the Rfam family "Bacterial small subunit ribosomal RNA", at positions 524 to 776 of the family's 1533-position model. The record is from RNAcentral.